Molecule: ribosomal RNA, 394 nt
Filed under: uncultured bacterium
Lineage: Bacteria
Description: partial 16S ribosomal RNA
Rfam family: Bacterial small subunit ribosomal RNA
Source: RNAcentral
AUACGUAGGGAGCGAGCGUUGUCCGGAAUUACUGGGCGUAAAGGGCGCGUAGGCGGCGCUUCAAGUCGUCUGUCAAAUGGGAGGGCUUAACCCUUUUUCGCAGACGAAACUGGAGAGCUUGAGAAGCAGAGAGGCGAACAGAAUUCCUGGUGUAGCGGUGAAAUGCGUAGAUAUCAGGAAGAAUACCAGUGGCGAAGGCGGUUUGCUGGCUGCAUACUGACGCUGAAGCGCGAAAGCCAGGGGAGCAAACGGGAUUAGAUACCCCGGUAGUCCUGGCAGUAAACGAUGUAUGCUGGGUGUGAGACUAGCGAUAGUUUCGUGCCGAAGUUAACGCGAUAAGCAUACCGCCUGGGGAGUACGGUCGCAAGAUUGAAACUCAAAUGAAUUGACGGGG